This 118-nucleotide small nucleolar RNA is filed under the name Microcebus murinus (gray mouse lemur). Lineage: Eukaryota; Metazoa; Chordata; Mammalia; Primates; Cheirogaleidae. The record is from RNAcentral.
UUUUAAAGACUUAUAUAAGUUUAUACCAUUAAUUAAACUUUGGGACAUUGACAUGGGCUAGGGGAGAUGACUGGAUAGAAAGCACUAUUCUAUUAAUUUACCUCUUAGUACUACAAAA